This 2563-nucleotide long non-coding RNA is filed under the name Homo sapiens (human). RNAcentral describes it as "HSALNT0119717". Lineage: Eukaryota; Metazoa; Chordata; Mammalia; Primates; Hominidae. The record is from RNAcentral.
CAGGAGGUACAGAACCUGGAGCUGAAAUCUUGAUGGGCCCCAACAGACAUGCAUGCCUAGCUGAUGAUUCUCCUCACCUCUCUCUUAACCUGAGGACUCCUGGGCCAUUUGGACUACCACAAGUGCAUCAUUAAUCUUACGACUGAGGCAAGGAAUUAUUAAAAUCCCUAACAAAGAAAGAAGUUGUCAAAGAAUAUCUUGUAUCAUUGGACCUUGGACUGUUGGACUCCCAGGUUUCAACAUUAUUCAGAUGCUUGCAGCAAAGUGAGUACAUCUUUUUCGCUCCACCCUGCAGCUGGCUUGGUUCUGACUGGAACCGUGGGCUGAGUCCAAAGGCUUGUUUUCGUUAGAGUCAUGAUGGCUAAUGCUGAGAACACAGCCCCAUGGUUUUACCUCAACAGCCACGUUUUUCUCAAGGAAUGUGAAGAAAGCUGUUUCCUGCUGCUUAAAGAAUGUGAUUACCUCAUUCAAAACUGACUGUCCAACCUGCCUCAGGCCUUCUAAGCCCGUCAGACAGACACAUUUCUCACCAUGACUUGGGUCUUCCUCAUUUGCUCAUGACCUGCAUUUUUCCCAAUCUGGUCUACAACAGACAUGGAACCCUUGGCUCUAUGAUUCUCAGCGUCUCUCUGCCAUCAGGCAUUUUGGACUUGACCCUGCUUUAGUCUCCCUGUCACUGACAUUGCAAUUAUUCCUAUCAAACGAUAGCUGGUCUCAUCCUAUGGUUCUCUGUCUUUUGGGGUGCAAUGAAUGGGAAAAUGUUUCCUGGUUCCAGGCUCAAUCCUAGUGGCUUUAAGAUGUUUUUGGCUACAAGUAACAGAAACUUGAACUCAAAUUGACCUACAUAAUACAAAGACAGUAUUGGCGCAGUAACGAAAAACUACAGUGAUAGAGGAAGCUUUGGUGACCCAGUGACAACACCAAAGAUACAGCUUCUCCUCCUCUUCUCUUCUAUGGUGCCUGCUUCACCCUAAGGCUCACUCUCUUCAUGUUUGCAAAAUGGCUGGAAGCAGCUUUAGGGACUGCUUGUUUCCUCAAUUAUGUCCAGCAGGAAGUGGGAAAAAAAAAUCUCUCUCCCAAUAGCUCUCUCAGAAGUGAAACAUCUUUUUUUCCAAAAGUCUCUGGAAAGAGUUUCUCUUGAUUCAUUGGUCUGAAUUGGGUUGUGUGUUCUAAACCAAGCGCUGUGGCCUGGCGAUGAAGUAUGUUGAUUGAAGAUCAGCUAAUCAGAACCUAGGACUAUGCUUAUGGAGUGAGGUCUCCUCCCAGAGCAUGUAGGCUGGUAGAAGAGGCAUGAUACCUGUGCUCUGUUUGACCUUCACCUUUGCUCCACUCUCUGCCCUAAGAAGCUAACUCUUCAGAAUGCAUCACUCCAGCUUUUUGAUUUCUGACUUAUAGCUGAAUUUGAUCUUGGGAACACCAACAGAAGAUCAGAGGGUGGAGAGAAAACUGGAUCAGGACAACUAUUUCCCCAGCUGGCUCCUUGCCUUGCUGUGGUUCUGACAGUGGCUGUGUUCCUCUAGAAGGGCGACUCCACUUGGGCCACCCUUCCAGCUCCAGCUCUUGCCAGGCUCUGGUUCACAACAGUGUUAUGGCGGGAGCAGGGAGGCACCUACAUCCAUUGGACCCAUCCUGACAGCUGGGAAGGAUGUGUCCAGCCACCCAGGGAUGUGCAUCUGGCACCCACCUCACAACAGCUGUUCUAACCACGUAAGAAGCACAAGGGUCACCGGUUACUCUCCAUGAGAACAAAAGGCCAAGGAUGCAGAGAUAAUUGCAUCAAAGGGAUUCAACUUCCUGGAUGACCUCAUUCCAAAGAUCUGCAGAGCCCAGAUAAGCAUCCCAGGGUUCUGGCAGAGGGCCCCUCCAGGGACAGGAAGGGGACAGGAAGCCGGCUUUCCGUGUCUGUACCGCCUUCCUUGGGAAGGAUAGGACACCUGUGGCCAUCAAGUCAUGAUGCCCCAUGCUGUCUCCCGCCAACUCCACAAGAAAGGCAAAUGAGUGUCACAUCGCCCCCAGAGUCAUGACUCUGCUGAUCCCACAUGGGCCCCAUAGAGGGCUUUUCCUUCUAGGUCUUCACCAUAGAUUUCUCAUAUUUUCAUUUAAACAGAUUUGUAUGUAAUUCUUGAAUGUUUCCUUUCUUUCAUAUUCUCAAAAAAUACAUUAAGACUAGUAAGAAUAGGUAAAAAAAAAUUGGUACAUCUCAGAAGAUAAUAUGUGAGACUAAUAGCUAUAGUUUGCAAUAAAGAAAAUUAAAUGAGGUUUCUAAGCACUUAUGUAUUUAUUCUCUAAAUGUUUUUGAGCCCUUUCUAUGCCAGACACAACUCCAAGUCCAGAGACGGAAAGAUAAAAUGUUCCUUAUGCUCGAAGAGCACAUAGAUUUGUUAGAAGUCAUAGAUACUUAAACAAAUGAUUAUAUAAUAAGUUCUACAAUGUAAUUUUAUCCUUGGGAAUUCUGCUAAUAUUACAAGGAAUAAUAAAUAGUCAAAAUAAGAGUCCUUUAUCAAAAUUUAUUUUUAUACUGCUCAGUUUUGCCCUAGAAUUUGUUAAUUUAUUCAAUAUUCUC